This 121-nucleotide microRNA precursor is filed under the name Arabidopsis lyrata subsp. lyrata. RNAcentral describes it as "pre miRNA MIR405". The record is from RNAcentral. Lineage: Eukaryota; Viridiplantae; Streptophyta; Magnoliopsida; Brassicales; Brassicaceae.
UAAACUCAUUUAACCAUCUAACCCAUCAAAUUAAAUGAGUUCAUGGGUUGACUCAUUAUUUGCUAAAUGAGUUGAGUCAACCCAUGAACUCAUUUAACUUCAAACUCAUUGGAUAAUGAGU